UUUCAUGUGUAGAAGAAGCUAUAGAAACUCGAAAUGCUGUAUACAAUCUGCAAUGGCCUCCACAUGGAGGAAAGCUACUUGUUGCUGAGUUUGUUGAUACCCAAAUAAAUAUCCUGAAGUUAGUGUUAAGCUACUUGUUGCUGAGUUUGUUGAUCCCCAGGGAGUGAAAGAUAAGGUUGAAGCACCACCUCAAUCUCCUUCAACUCAUGCAACUCCUGUGACCCCAAUCCCGGCUGCAGCCCUGCCUUCUGCCCAGUCCCAACCAUCACCAAGACAACAGAUGCAGAACAAGCAACUUCAACCUGAGAAACUUCCACCACCUCCACUUCCUGAGAAACUCGACCCUCCAAUUGUCACUCUGGAUGAUCUCUUUAAAAAGACAAAGGCAACACCUCGCAUUUACUAUUUGCCCUUGUCUGAUGAACAAGUUGCAGAAAAGUUAAAGGCGCAAGGGAAGAUUAUCAAGCAGUAGAAUUAGGCUAUAAUUUAUCCUAAUCUCAUCUUCGGUUUCUCAUGGAUAACAAGUUGCAGAAAAGUUGAAUACGCAAGGGAAGAUUAUAAAGCAGUAGAAUUAGGCUAUAAUUUAUCCUAAUCUCAUCUUCGGUUUCUCAUGGAUCAGUCUUACAUUGUAAGAGAAUGGUACGAGAGUCAUAUUAUUGCAUCUUUGCAGGUCUGCAGGUCUUGUACGUAGGAAGCUCUGGUUUGGUUGCUGGAGAAGCUGUUUGAUGACAGUUGUUUUUUGCAAGUGUUACCUUGCCUCCGUGAUAGCUUUUUGUGCAAGGACAUUCUUAUAAAGCUCAUUGUGUUUCUUCACCAAAUCAGAUCCUCAGUUCUUGCGAGCUUAGAAUUUUUGCAUCUGUUGUCUGGUCGGAUGAAAAACCUUGCGGAGUUAUCUCUGGAACUAUAAUUACUGUGUAGUUUAGAGCAGAAUCUUGGUUUCUGGGGUGUACUUUGUUAGAAGUGCAGUCCUGUUGAUAUAAUUUGCUCAGAUGUUGAUGACGAUUCUUCUUGCUAUUCACUACCUAGGAGUCUGAAUUCCUCUAUUUGUCUACUAGUUAUCAAACAUGACGGACUAUCUAUUGGUGGACAGAAACAAUCAACCUGAGUUUGGUUUUAGUGGACUGCACUAUUAUUAGAGUCUAUUACUGUGUACUAAUAUCAGUUAUGAAUAUGCUAAUGAAUAUGGGGCGUUUCAGUCCAAAAAAAUGAAUAAAUAUAUGAUAUGCAGCUGUGGGCUUAUUUUUAUUAUUGACACCACAAGUUCACACACAGAAACUUAUGCAAGAAGCUUCAUCAUACUAUUCUAAUACUCUUCCAUUUAGGAUGUGUUUAGUACGGAUGGAAAAUAUUUUCUGGAAUUUUUUUACUAAAAUAAUAUAUUU
Molecule: long non-coding RNA, 1382 nt
Filed under: Nicotiana benthamiana
Lineage: Eukaryota; Viridiplantae; Streptophyta; Magnoliopsida; Solanales; Solanaceae
Description: long non-coding RNA (NBEN_LNC020406)
Source: RNAcentral